This is a long non-coding RNA of Heterocephalus glaber (naked mole-rat), 1414 nucleotides long. NCBI's taxonomy places the organism in Eukaryota, Metazoa, Chordata, Mammalia, Rodentia, Bathyergidae. The record is from Ensembl.
CCUGGGCAGCAGUUUUUAGAAUUUAAUGACCUUUUGGGAUAUUUUUAACCUCAUAUAUUUGAAUGAUGGAGUUUAAAUGUUAGAUUAGACUUGGGUGGUAUUAAACACAUGAUAUCAAAGGCUGGAAUUCAGGGGCCCAGCAGAGACUCAGAAACCCUUGGGCUGAUCUGAAUAUGGCAGCAGUUUUAACUAAAUUCCAGCCAGAAGAGGCACAUUUAUUUUAGUAGAAGGUUAGCUACAAUGGGAAGGGCUUGGGGUCUAUUGUGCCUGACUCUCAGCUCUACUUGUCCUGUAGCUGCCCAGCUCCUGGUGCCAGCUCCAGCUGGGGGCUUUUCAGAGCCCAAGUAUGCCCUGAUGUUAUCACACAUGGAGGGGAAUCAGUGUGUGUCUUCUGAUGCACCCACAUGCUUCCCCUGCAGUUGGUGCUAGUCAGCUAUAUCCUGGACUCUGUUGUGGGGGUUCUGAUGUGGUAGAUGAGGGAGGGGCCUGCGGUGUGGAUUUUGAACAUGUAUUCUAGGUGACUCUCCUAAUUGGGAAUCUGCCAAUUUGUUAGUAUUCUAAAUACCACCAUAAUGGACCAUACUUAGAGAUAGAUCUUUGAGAAGUUGAAUUUAGUUAAAAGUUGUAAACCAGAAGGCUGUUGAUACCUGAUACAAACUCUUAAUUCAGGUAGACCAGUGGCUUCCUUCCAACAUGGGUAUUAGCACCUCAGUCUCUCUAAGUCUUUGGAGGGAGUGGCUGACCAUGGAAGUCAUACAGGCCCCCUCUGAAAUGUCCCUGGGGGCUAGGAGAUGUGAUGAAACCAUGUCUCCUGUUGUGCUGCUGGUGGACAAAGAUUAUUACCUCCAAUGACCCUCUGGACCAUGGCUGUGUGCCCACUUGCAUCACAAGGCCAUACUUUUGCUUCUGUUCCAGAUGUGUGGUUUUGGACAGGACACAUGACCACCUCCUAGUGAAAGGAACCACAGCCAUUAUGGGAAGACAGUGAGGAGUCUUGAGAACCUGUUCGUCUCAGGGGAGGAAAGGACCUGUCAGUCCGGACACAUUGAACUUGGCAUUCAAGACAUUGACCAGAGAGGUGCGGGGGCAGGCAGAAGCAAGUAGGUCUAUAGGAGAGAAGAGAGAGGCACCCUGAGGACAGGGAGUGAGGAGGAGCAGGAUGGAUGGAACAGCAGAGGACACCCAGAGAGGGUUCCAGACAGGUGCUCUGUAUGUGCAUUAAGAAGGACUGAGUGUAGAUAGGACCCUUGGAUUGAGGAGACAGGCCAUGGGCCAUGAGGCAGUAUGGGAGGUCAUGGAGCUCAGUGAGAGCAGGAGAAGGUAGAAGCUCUCCUUUGGCUCAGAGGGAUGAGACACAGGUCUGUGUUGAUGGGGCCACAGUGUUCUGAGCUUCUGUUUAUCUACAGAGAAGAGA